AAGGCCCUGCUUGCAGGGUACUCGAGUGGCGAACGGGUGAGUAACACGUGGGUGAUCUGCCCUGCACUUCGGGAUAAGCUUGGGAAACUGGGUCUAAUACCGGAUAGGAGCCAUCUUUAGUGUGGUGGUUGGAAAGUUUUUUCGGUGUAGGAUGAGCUCGCGGCCUAUCAGCUUGUUGGUGGGGUAAUGGCCUACCAAGGCGGCGACGGGUAGCCGGCCUGAGAGGGUGUACGGCCACAUUGGGACUGAGAUACGGCCCAGACUCCUACGGGAGGCAGCAGUGGGGAAUAUUGCACAAUGGGCGCAAGCCUGAUGCAGCGACGCCGCGUGGGGGAUGAAGGCCUUCGGGUUGUAAACUCCUUUCGCUAGGGACGAAGCUUUGUUGUGACGGUACCUAGAUAAGAAGCACCGGCUAACUACGUGCCAGCAGCCGCGGUAAUACGUAGGGUGCGAGCGUUGUCCGGAAUUACUGGGCGUAAAGGGCUCGUAGGUGGUUUGUCGCGUCGUCUGUGAAAUUCUGGGGCUUAACUCCGGGCGUGCAGGCGAUACGGGCAUAACUUGAGUGCUGUAGGGGUAACUGGAAUUCCUGGUGUAGCGGUGAAAUGCGCAGAUAUCAGGAGGAACACCGAUGGCGAAGGCAGGUUAC
Molecule: ribosomal RNA, 646 nt
Filed under: uncultured Actinomycetales bacterium
Lineage: Bacteria; Bacillati; Actinomycetota; Actinomycetes; Actinomycetales
Description: bacterial SSU rRNA
Rfam family: Bacterial small subunit ribosomal RNA
Source: RNAcentral